This is a long non-coding RNA of Triticum dicoccoides, 673 nucleotides long. RefSeq lists it as uncharacterized. The record is from RefSeq and is a predicted model, not a curated record. The transcript has 3 exons. NCBI's taxonomy places the organism in Eukaryota, Viridiplantae, Streptophyta, Magnoliopsida, Poales, Poaceae.
CCCACAAACCUAGGUUGUUCUCCAAACCGGCCUCCGCCGCCGCCGGCAGCAAUACUCCACCCCCGACUGCCCUGGCUGCAGCCAAUCGACGAUGGAAGACGCUGGCCUGAAGUUCUUGGCUUCUUGCUGGAUGCGCUUGACAGAUUUCCGCUCAGGGAAGAGCUCGCCGACAGCUUGGACCACCCAGAUCCGGCUCAUCUGGCGGUCCUCCUACGGAUUGAUGGCACGGGCAUUGAGUCGCCGGACUCGAACGCUGGGUCCGGGUGCGGGAAACGUGUUGGCGGUGCUAGCCAGGGGCGGUAACUGGGUAACGGGUGACGUCGAGGUCCGCACAGUCGACCAAUAGGGUGAAUCCGGAGGAUCCAGGUUGGAUAAAAAGGAUGAGCUUUGCAAGCCAGAUAACGAAGUGGAUAGGGAUUACAUCGAGAUGAUGCACUCUACACUAAUGGGUUACAGAAUUGACUGGUUGAAGAAGGUAAUUGAGCUCCUACGAUUUCUUGAAAAUAGGAGAAAGCAAAAAUUCAGAAUGAUCUGAAUUACAAGGAAAGCUAUGCCGAAAACUGAAAACGAUGCUUAUGGGCAGUUGAGUGCAUUUUGUGGAGGUUUACCCAAGUUGGGAUUUUUUAGGCGGAAUCAUGGUUGGGGCAGUUGACAACCAUUCAUUAUAUAUAGG